Molecule: long non-coding RNA, 746 nt
Organism: Camelus dromedarius (Arabian camel)
Lineage: Eukaryota; Metazoa; Chordata; Mammalia; Artiodactyla; Camelidae
Exons: 3
Source: RefSeq, a predicted model, not a curated record
GGCAGGGCAUGGAAUGCCUGGUAACCUGAUGCCAGAGUGAUACGUUUUAGCUGUUCUAGAGGUAGCCCCUGCUGGAAUAAUAGUGUCCAUCCAGUAUGAGAAAUGACAAAGAAUGAAUAUUUGACGAUUUCAAAAAAGAACAAGUGAAAGCUUUGGGAAGCUGUGAAUGUUGCCAGAGUCCAGCAGGCUUUUCUAGACCUCCAUGAGGAUGCAGGCUGGCACAGGGGCAGUCAGGUAAGAAGAAAUGAGAACAGAGAUCACGGAAACCAGCACGGAAAGAUGUUGCAAGAAGAGAGAUGCCAACGGUGUAUCAUCACUUCAAAGAUCCAGUAGCAGGAAGUCCCUGGAUCUGACCACAUGGAAAAUAUGGUUUCGCUUGACAAGAGCAGUCACCGUAGAAGGAUGGACAGGAGCAUGAUGAGAGUGAAUGUGAGGAGAAUGUGUUGUGAAGAAAGGCAGAAACUCUAGCCAGGGGUCUGCAAAAGGCCAGAUGGUAAGUAUUCCAGACUUGGUGGUCUUUACAGUCUCUGACGAGCUUCUCGGCUUUGCCCCUGGAGGGUGAAAGCAGCCCCAGAUAAUACACAAGCAAGUGUGCACGGCUGUGUUCCAAAAAAACUUCGUCUAUGGACAAUGAAAAUUGAAUGUCACGUAACUUUCACAUGUCACAAAACAUUUUUCUUCUUUUGAUUUUCCCCCAACCAUUGACAAGUGUGAAACCCAUUCUUGGCUCUUAAGCUGUGCAAAGA